This is a non-coding RNA of Tetrapisispora phaffii CBS 4417, 84 nucleotides long. NCBI's taxonomy places the organism in Eukaryota, Fungi, Ascomycota, Saccharomycetes, Saccharomycetales, Saccharomycetaceae. The record is from the annotation of a RefSeq genome assembly.
GGCACUAUGGCCGAGUGGUUAAGGCGAGAGACUCGAACUAUCUCUUGGGCUCUGCCCGCGCUGGUUCAAAUCCUGCUGGUGUCG